CCCUACGGCCAUACCACCCUGAAUACGCUCGAUCUCAUCUGAUCUCAGAAGCUAAGCAGGGUCAGGCCUGGUUAGUACUUGGAUGGGAGACCGCCUGGAAAUACCGGGUGCUGUAGGCU
Ribosomal RNA from Sphaerodactylus townsendi, 119 nucleotides. The record is from RefSeq and is a predicted model, not a curated record. NCBI's taxonomy places the organism in Eukaryota, Metazoa, Chordata, Lepidosauria, Squamata, Sphaerodactylidae.